GCUAUUCUUGUUGGCUGCUUCAGCUAGACAGGCCAAGGACUGAAUGGGCCUGAUGAAGUUUGAACUCCUUUCUCUUAGCAAUAUUCUUUUAUGUGAGGAUUGAGAGGUUCAUUGGUAAAACAGGGUGGGGAAGUUUGCAUUUGCUGUAUCUCUACUGUGGAUAAAAAGAGCACUUCGGCACCUCAGCCCACUGAUCUAGCCCUUUUCAUAAGCAUCAAAUCCAUACGAUUUCUUUCAAACCAGAUUGGGCAUCCCAGGAUGACUUACUAGUUCCUAAUAGCAUGCUUCAGCAACUCAUCCCAGGACAACAAUGAUGGCAUUUAUCUUCAAACCAGACUAAACUGAAGUUUGUUUAACACUGCAAGGAUUAGAGCAAAAGCCAAGGUGAAAGAGCUGGGUCGGAGAGAUUUCCUGUUUGUGGAGGAUGUGGCCUUGGUUGUCCAUGGAGACUGAACUGUUUCUACACGAGAUGCCAGCAUAAGUGUCUGAAAAUGAAGUGAGGAGACAAAAUACCAAGCAUAGAAGUGCUGGAGCACACAGGACUGACACUUAAAAAUCGUUAUCAAGAAGAAGAGGUUGUGAUGGCUCAGUCAUGUCAGGAAAAUGGGAGGAGACUGUAUGCCCCAGAAUAUUUUGUACAGAGAGAUUUGAGAUGGCUCUAGUAAGCCAGGUCACCAUUUAUGGCGGUACCAUGACAUGUGCAAAAAUGGUACACAGUUGUUGAACAUCAAUGUACAAAGCUGGGAGGAGUGCACAGAAUCCCAUCCAAUCUGGGGGCAAUAUAUGGCACUGCGUGCAGCUCAACAUGGAGUGACUUUGAUCCAGAGGAUGGAAGCAAAGUGAGAAAGAAGAAAGUAGCGUGCUGUAAUCUUGGACUACAAGUCAGACAACCCAUGAAUGUGUGAAAUUUGUAACAAGAUGUGUCAUUCUUGCAUUGGGCUUGCCAGCCAUAAGCAGAUUCAUCGGGCACCUGAAUAGACCUCUUACACGUACACCAUGAUCCAGCAGAUCGAUGAUUGCCUAUAGAUUUGUAUGUGUAGUAUGGGUUGUUGCCUGUUUAUAAAUGUAGUUAACUGUUUUGCACAGGCAAGGAACAGUUUUUACAUGGAAGUACAGAUGCACUGGGUGUAGCACAUGCAUUUCCUGCAAGCAUACCAAUUUCACCUUCCUUUGAAAAUUUAACCAAAAGUCAAUAUGGGAAACCGUCAUCCGUUUAUGCAGAAGUUGUUCAUACGUGUUAUCAAACUGAAGUCUAUUUUGAGCUAUUUUUAAAAUGUCUUUGUGAAAUAAAAGAAUUUGAUCUA
Molecule: long non-coding RNA, 1304 nt
Organism: Mauremys reevesii (Reeves's turtle)
Lineage: Eukaryota; Metazoa; Chordata; Testudines; Geoemydidae
Exons: 4
Source: RefSeq, a predicted model, not a curated record